GACAGCAGCCGCCGCGGGAAAACGUAGGGUGCAAGCGUUAAUCGGAAUUACUGGGCGUAAAGCGUGCGCAGGCGGUUAUAUAAGAAAGAUGUGAAAUCCCCGGGCUCAACCUGGGAACUGCAUUUGUGACUGUAUAGCUAGAGUACGGCAGAGGGGGAUGGAAUUCCGCGUGUAGCAGUGAAAUGCGUAGAUAUGCGGAGGAACACCGAUGGCGAAGGCAAUCCCCUGGGCCUGUACUGACGCUCAUGCACGAAAGCGUGGGGAGCAAACAGGAUUAGAUACCCCAGUAGUCCCUGUCUCUUAUAC
This 306-nucleotide ribosomal RNA is filed under the name uncultured bacterium. RNAcentral's name for it is "partial 16S ribosomal RNA". It matches the Rfam family "Bacterial small subunit ribosomal RNA", at positions 507 to 807 of the family's 1533-position model. The record is from RNAcentral.